UGGGGAAUAUUGGACAAUGGGGGAACCCGUGAUCCAGCCAUGCCGCGUGUGUGAAGAAGGCCUUAUGGUUGUAAAGCACUUUAAGCGAGGAGGAGGCUCUCUUGGUUAAUACCCAAGAAGAGUGGACGUUACUCGCAGAAUAAGCACCGGCUAACUCUGUGCCAGCAGCCGCGGUAAUACAGAGGGUGCGAGCGUUAAUCGGAUUUACUGGGCGUAAAGCGUGCGUAGGCGGCUUUUUAAGUCGGAUGUGAAAUCCCCGAGCUUAACUUGGGAAUUGCAUUCGAUACUGGGAAGCUAGAGUAUGGGAGAGGAUGGUAGAAUUCCAGGUGUAGCGGUGAAAUUGCGUAGAGAUCUUGGAGGAAUACCGAUGGCGAAGGCAGCCAUCUGGCCUAAUACUGACGCUGAGGUACGAAAGCAUGGGGAGCAAACA
RNAcentral lists this ribosomal RNA (430 nucleotides) under uncultured Acinetobacter sp. Its description in RNAcentral is "bacterial SSU rRNA". It matches the Rfam family "Bacterial small subunit ribosomal RNA", at positions 355 to 774 of the family's 1533-position model. The record is from RNAcentral. Lineage: Bacteria; Pseudomonadati; Pseudomonadota; Gammaproteobacteria; Moraxellales; Moraxellaceae.